CCAGGCGUCGAGUGGUUCAAUGUGCUCAAAGACCAUUGGCAACAGCAUAAUCUCCCAAAGUGGCCCCAUUUGCACGCCCUCUUCUGACGCUGCAGGUGCUUCAGCAGCCAGCCAGGACCGCGGCUGCUUGCCCUCGGUUGGCUUCCGUCCCACAGCCAACUUCAGUGAUCAAGGUGGAGGCGGCUCGAAGCUGGUCGUGAACGGCAUGCAGCAGCGUGUUUCCACCAUAAGGUGAAGAGAAGUGGGCACGACACCAUUCCCAGGCGCGCACUGCCUGUGGCAACUCAUCCUUGGCUUUUGAAACUAUGGAUAUGCAAUGGACAUGUAGCUUUGAGUUCCUCAGAAUAACCAAACGUGAAGAAUAUGCAAAGUUCCUCAGAAUCAACAAUUAUCUGCUAACAAUCAUGGUAAAAAAACAUUAAGAUGCCAUUAGUAAUACAGGAAUUUAGCUGCUAACAAUUAUCUCUAGAGGGUCUAAACAAACGAUAAAUUCAACUAUCAAAGCUCACAUUCUCAACGUUAUAAUCAAAUACCUUUGUCUUACUUCACUUUUAGAGACCCGUAGCAUAAAAAAUGCCAUACAAAGCGAGUUAUC
RNAcentral lists this long non-coding RNA (595 nucleotides) under Zea mays. Its description in RNAcentral is "long non-coding RNA (ZMAY_LNC000105)". The record is from RNAcentral. Lineage: Eukaryota; Viridiplantae; Streptophyta; Magnoliopsida; Poales; Poaceae.